This 253-nucleotide ribosomal RNA is filed under the name uncultured bacterium. RNAcentral's name for it is "partial 16S ribosomal RNA". It matches the Rfam family "Bacterial small subunit ribosomal RNA", at positions 524 to 776 of the family's 1533-position model. The record is from RNAcentral.
UACAGAGGUCCCAAGCGUUGUUCGGAUUCAUUGGGCGUAAAGGGUGCGUAGGCGGCGCGUUAAGUCGGGUGUGAAAUCUCGGAGAUUAACUCCGAAACUGCAUUCGAUACUGCCGUGCUUGAGGACUGGAGAGGAGACUGGAAUUUACGGUGUAGCGGUGAAAUGCGUAGAUAUCGUAAGGAAGACCAGUGGCGAAGGCGGGUCUCUGGACAGUUCCUGACGCUGAGGCACGAAGGCCAGGGGAGCAAACGGG